CAGUAGCCACGGUAAUACGUAGGUGGCAAGCACUGUCCGGAAUUAUUGGGCGUAAAGGGCUCGCAGGCGGUUUCUUAAGUCUGAUGUGAAAGCCCCCGGCUCAACCGGGGAGGGUCAUUGGAAACUGGGAAACUUGAGUGCAGAAGAGGAGAGUGGAAUUCCACGUGUAGCGGUGAAAUGCGUAGAGAUGUGGAGGAACACCAGUGGCGAAGGCGACUCUCUGGUCUGUAACUGACGCUGAGGAGCGAAAGCGUGGGGAGCGAACAGGAUUAGAUACCCCCGUAGUCCCUGUCUCUUAUAC
RNAcentral lists this ribosomal RNA (301 nucleotides) under uncultured bacterium. Its description in RNAcentral is "partial 16S ribosomal RNA". It matches the Rfam family "Bacterial small subunit ribosomal RNA", at positions 509 to 807 of the family's 1533-position model. The record is from RNAcentral.